AUGGAGCCAACCCAAUGGUGGUUUCAAUUUGGAGGGGAUGUUCCUGCAUUGCAGAAGUGUGCAAUGAGAAUUUGCUCACAAUGUGUCUCAUCUAGUGGGUGUGAGAGGAACUGGAGCGCCUUUGCUUUGGUGCACACAAAGCAAAGAAAUCGCCUUUUAUAUGACAAGCUCCACAAGCUAGUUUCUGUCCGCUACAACCUAAAGAUACGUGCUGAAGAAGAUCAAGAGAAAGAGAGAGAUAUAGAUAAAGAGGUUGAUCCAAGUGCAUUGCUGAUAGAUACAACAAUGUUCGAUGAGACAAAUCCAAUAAUGGAGUGGCUGAAUGAGGAUGAAGAGGAUCCAAUUUUGGAUGGAGCCGAUGCGGCCAGUGCUGUUUUUGAGAAAAUAAGGCGCCUCAACUCAAGCAGGAAGGAUUCUUAUGUUGGUACAAAGGCUAAUAAGAAGAAAAGAAAGAGGAAUCAUGAUGAGGAGAAUGAGUAUGUCGAAACUGACAGUGAGGAUGACGACAACGAGAAUGAAUAUGUUGAUAAUGAGAGUGAGGAUGAUGAUGGGGUGAGUGAGGAUGAUGAGGAUGAUCAACAAGAUCAGCAAGAAACACAAAUGCAAGUGGAAGAAGAGACACAAGUACAAGUUGAAAAGGAGACACAAGCAAGCAUUGGCAAUUUGGAGACUCGUAGAUCUGGACGACUAGUUAGGAAGAAGACCAAGGAAAUCAACAGCCUCUACUCGUAG
This 732-nucleotide ribosomal RNA is filed under the name Triticum aestivum (bread wheat). RNAcentral's name for it is "partial small subunit ribosomal RNA". Lineage: Eukaryota; Viridiplantae; Streptophyta; Magnoliopsida; Poales; Poaceae. The record is from RNAcentral.